This 276-nucleotide long non-coding RNA is filed under the name Bos taurus (domestic cattle). RNAcentral describes it as "long non-coding RNA NONBTAT015685". Lineage: Eukaryota; Metazoa; Chordata; Mammalia; Artiodactyla; Bovidae. The record is from RNAcentral.
AGUUUUGAAAAUCAAACAAAGUUCAAAAAGUAGACAUCACAGGUUGACAUCCAGCCCAAAGCAGAGGAAAAAUGUCUCAUGUUAAACGUUUUGGCACAGAACAGAAUUUAUGAGCGUUUUCGAUGUUUUGAUUUUCCCCCCCCACAAGUCACUGUUAUUCCUUACCCCCCCAGAGUUAGGUGUGGAGAGAUUAUGUUGGCUAGUUUCCAUGGUGACACCGAAGAAAAGUCAUUUUUUAAAGUAGGUUUCUACUGUGUUAUUUCACAUGCAUGAAAC